Scleropages formosus (Asian bonytongue) is the source of this 548-nucleotide long non-coding RNA. RefSeq lists it as uncharacterized. The transcript has 3 exons. The record is from RefSeq and is a predicted model, not a curated record. Lineage: Eukaryota; Metazoa; Chordata; Actinopteri; Osteoglossiformes; Osteoglossidae.
CAGUUAGCUUUUCUUAGAAUAAACAUUAAAGAAAACAUUCAGCUGUGUCACGACUUGGAACAUUCGAGUGAAGAUUGUCUGUCUGUCCUUCCACAGGCCACACAGCUCCUGGGCCCAGGUUCUAUGGAAGGAUACAACUGAAGGUGGAUGGUGAAGGGCACGCGGUUGUUACCAUCACCGUGGUAACCGACAAAAACAGCAUCAGUGCUAUGACUAAACUGGCUACCUACAAAUCCCUUAGGGUGCCCCCAUCUGGGAGAGUCGCAACAAGCCAGUGAAGGAGAAAAGGACCAGCUCCUGACAGCAACACAUCAAGAUUCUCAGUGAAAUUUUGGGAAACAAGGAUGCUCAGCACUGGACUUGCUGGAGAACAGGGUCGGGUGAAAGUGAGGAAAGCAUAUUGUGUGUCUGAGCCCCCUGCUAUUCUCAAUCUACUCCUUGUCCCUCAGCCCUGUCAUCACCUCUCAUGGAUUCAACUACCACUGCUGCGCCAAUGAUACCCAGCUCUUCCUCCUUAAGUCAGAAGUUAAGGUGGCUUUAUUGCCAUU